This 1296-nucleotide ribosomal RNA is filed under the name uncultured candidate division WS6 bacterium. RNAcentral describes it as "bacterial SSU rRNA". It matches the Rfam family "Bacterial small subunit ribosomal RNA". The record is from RNAcentral.
AGAGUUUGAUUAUGGCUCAGGAUAACGUUGGCUGUGUGCCUAAGGUAUGCAAGUCGAACGAUCCCUGGGAUAGUGGCAAACGGGUGAGUAACACGUGGAUAACCUACCUCGAAGUCAUGAACAGCUCAUCGAAAGAUGGGAUAAUACAUGAUGCUUAUAUUUUCUUUAGAUUUUAUAAGUAAAGCUUUUGCGCUUUGAGAGGGGUCCGCGUCCUAUCAGCUUGUUGGUGAGGUAAUGGCUCACCAAGGCUAAGACGGGUAGCUGGCGUGAGAGCGCGGUCAGCCACCAUGGAACUGAGACACGGUCCAUACUCCUACGGGAGGCAGCAAUUAGGAAUCUUGCGCAAUGGGGGCAACCCUGACGCAGCGACACAGCGUGGAGGAGGUUAGUUGACUCCUUUUAUAUGGGAUAGAACCAUAUGAAUAAGCACCUGCAACUACGUGCCAGAAGCAUCGGUGAUGCGUAGGGUGCAAACGUUAUCCGGAUUUAUUGGGCGUAUAGAGAGCGUAGGCGUUUUUGUAAGUCUUUAGUUAAAUAUCACGGCUCAACCGUGGACAAGCUUUGGAUACUGCAAGAAUUGAGACAGGAAGAGGCGAACAGAAUUCCCAGUGGAGCGGUGAAAUGCGUUGAUAUUGGGAGGAAUAUCAGUGGCGAAGGCGGUUCGCUGGUCCUGUCUGACGCUAAGGCUCGAAAGCGUGGGUAGCAAAACGGAUUAGAUACCCGUGUAGUCCACGCCGUAAACUAUGGAUGCUAGGUGUUCGGUACAUUCAGUAUUGAGUACCGCAGUUAACACGUUAAGCAUCCCGCCUGGGAAGUACGGCCGCAAGGCUAAAACUCAAAUGAAUUGGCGGGGACCCGCACAAGCAGGGGAGCGCGUGGUUUAAUUCGACGACAAUCGAAGAAUCUUACCAGGGUAAAUGAUCUGCAGCCUUAUGAAAGUAGGAGUUCGGGAUCAAGGUGCUGCAUGGCCGUCGUCAGCUCGUGUCGUGAGAUGUAGGGUUAAGUCCCGAAACGAGCGCAACCCCCAUCCCAUGUUACAAUCUUGGGAAACUGCCUCGGAAACGGGGAGGAAGGUGGGGAUGACGUCUGGUCCGCAUAGCCCUUAUGUCCUGGGCUACACACGCGCUACAAUGGCCGAUACAGUAGGAAGCCAAAUCGUAAGAUGGAGCUAUCCUCAAAAUCGGUCUCAGUUCGGAUUGAGGUCUGAAACUCGACCUCAUGAAGUUGGAUUUGCUAGUAAUCGUAGAUCAGCAUGCUACGGUGAAUACGUUCUCGGGUCUUGCACUCACCCCCGUC